GGACCGUUGGCGCAGUCUGGUAGCGCGCCUCCCUGACACGGAGGAGGUCACUGGUUCAAGUCCAGUACGGUCCACCA
Molecule: transfer RNA, 77 nt
Filed under: Nocardioidaceae bacterium
Lineage: Bacteria; Bacillati; Actinomycetota; Actinomycetes; Propionibacteriales; Nocardioidaceae
Description: tRNA-Val
Rfam family: tRNA
About the family: Transfer RNA (tRNA) molecules are approximately 80 nucleotides in length. Their secondary structure includes four short double-helical elements and three loops (D, anti-codon, and T loops).
Source: RNAcentral